Molecule: ribosomal RNA, 985 nt
Filed under: Apteropilo humerofuscus
Lineage: Eukaryota; Metazoa; Arthropoda; Insecta; Coleoptera; Cleridae
Description: partial 16S ribosomal RNA
Source: RNAcentral
GAAUAGAAAUUAUUAUUAAAUUUAUUUAUUUAUUUAUUAUUAAAAAAAAUAGUUAUUAUUUUAUUAUUUAUAAAGAAAAAAUAUAGUUAAUUAUAGGUUAUUAGUAUUGUGAAAGAAUAAAUUUAUAUAUUUAAAAGAAAAAUUAAAUUUUUGUACCUUGUGUAUCAGGGUUAAUUAAAUAAAAAUUUUUUAUAGAAUUUUCUCGAAUUUAAAAGAGUUAAUUAUUUAUAUAUUUAAUUGUGAAAUAAAUUUUUAUAAUAAAUAAUUAGUAAUGAAACGUUAUUCGUUUUUAAAUAUAUCUAGUUUUUAAAGAAAAAAAUUUAAUUUUAUUAUUAAUAGUUAAAAUUUUAUAUUUUUAAUAUUUUAUUAUUAAUAUUUUAUCUUAAUAGGGAUAAGCUUAUUAAGAAAAUAAUUAUAAUUAAAUUAUACAUAUAAAUAAUUUAUAGAAUUAAAAUUUUUUAUUGAUAAGAAAAUGUUAUAAUUAAUUAUUUAAAGUUUAUAUUUAUAUUUAAUUUAAAUUUUAUAUUUAAAUUUAUAUUUUAAUUUAAAAAAUUUAGUAAUUAUGAUUAAAUUAGUAUAAUAUAUUGUAAUAUUAAGGUUUUUAUUUAGGUUAAUUUAAGGAAUUCGGCAAAAUUAUUUUUCACCUGUUUAUUAAAAACAUGUCUUUUUGAUUAUAAUUUAAAGUCUAAUCUGCCCACUGAGUUAUUGAAUGGCCGCGGUAUUUUGACCGUGCAAAGGUAGCAUAAUAAUUAGUUUUUUAAUUGGAAGCUGGUAUGAAUGAUUGAAUGAGAAAAUAACUGUCUCAAAUUAAUUUAUAUAGAAUUUUAUUUUUAAGUAAAAAAGCUUAAAUAAAGUUAGAAGACGAGAAGACCCUAUAGAGUUUAAUAAAUUUUAUUAAUUUAGGUUAUUAGUUUAAAAUACUUAAAUUUUUUAAGUUUAUUUUAUUGGGGUGAUAAAAAAAUUAAUAUAACUUUUUUUGUAUUAA